This 500-nucleotide ribosomal RNA is filed under the name uncultured bacterium. RNAcentral describes it as "partial 16S ribosomal RNA". It matches the Rfam family "Bacterial small subunit ribosomal RNA", at positions 29 to 523 of the family's 1533-position model. The record is from RNAcentral.
AUUGAACGCUGGCGGCAUGCUUUACACAUGCAAGUCGAACGGCAGCACGGGGGCAACCCUGGUGGCGAGUGGCGAACGGGUGAGUAAUGCAUCGGAACAUGCCCAGUCGUGGGGGAUAACGUAGCGAAAGUUACGCUAAUACCGCAUACGUCCUGAGGGAGAAAGCGGGGGAUCGCAAGACCUCGCGCGAGUGGAGUGGCCGAUGUCAGAUUAGCUAGUUGGUGGGGUAAAGGCCUACCAAGGCGACGAUCUGUAGCGGGUCUGAGAGGAUGAUCCGCCACACUGGGACUGAGACACGGCCCAGACUCCUACGGGAGGCAGCAGUGGGGAAUUUUGGACAAUGGGGGCAACCCUGAUCCAGCCAUGCCGCGUGCGGGAAGAAGGCCUUCGGGUUGUAAACCGCUCUCAGCCGGAAAGAAAUCGCCAUUCCUAAUACGAGUGGUGGAUGACGGUACCGGAAGAAGAAGCACCGGCUAACUACGUGCCAGCCGCCGCCGUAA